RNAcentral lists this transfer RNA (89 nucleotides) under Aeriscardovia sp. Its description in RNAcentral is "tRNA-Ser". It matches the Rfam family "tRNA". From Rfam's summary of the family: Transfer RNA (tRNA) molecules are approximately 80 nucleotides in length. Lineage: Bacteria; Bacillati; Actinomycetota; Actinomycetes; Bifidobacteriales; Bifidobacteriaceae. The record is from RNAcentral.
CGAAGGUUGGCAGAAUGGUAAUUGCAGAAGUUUGCUAAACUUCCGAGGCUGUCAAAGGUCUCACACAGGUUCGAACCCUGUACCUUCGG